CCAGAUGGUCGGGCGGCCGCUGUCGCGUGGAUUUCCCACGCGGUGGAGGAAAGUCCGGGCUCCACGGAGGAACGGUGCCGGCUAACGGCCGGCGGGGGUGACCCCAGGGAAAGUGCCACAGAAAACAGACCGCCCCCACGGCAUUCCGGUUCGCCGGAGAUGGUGCGGGUAAGGGUGAAACGGUGCGGUAAGAGCGCACCGCGCGUGCGGUAACGCAGGCGGCAGGGCAAACCCCACCGGGAGCAAGACCGAAUAGGAACGGCAGACGGACCGCCUCGCGCGGGGUCGUCGGGGGUCCCUCCGCCCCCGUCGUUCGGGUUGGUCGCGUGAGGCGCGCCGCAAGGCGCGUCCCAGAGGAAUGGUCGCCCCCCUUCAUCGAAGGUGGACAGAACCCGGCUUACAGACCAUCUGGCCGU
RNAcentral lists this RNase P RNA (416 nucleotides) under Gluconacetobacter diazotrophicus PA1 5. Its description in RNAcentral is "Gluconacetobacter diazotrophicus PAl 5 Bacterial RNase P class A". It matches the Rfam family "Bacterial RNase P class A". Rfam says of the family: Ribonuclease P (RNase P) is a ubiquitous endoribonuclease, found in archaea, bacteria and eukarya as well as chloroplasts and mitochondria. Its best characterised activity is the generation of mature 5'-ends of tRNAs by cleaving the 5'-leader elements of precursor-tRNAs. Lineage: Bacteria; Pseudomonadati; Pseudomonadota; Alphaproteobacteria; Acetobacterales; Acetobacteraceae. The record is from Rfam by way of RNAcentral.